GGUGGUACUUUUCAUUUUUCCAUUUUAUUUUAUUUUGGUUUCUCCUUUUCCUCUUCCCACGCUUUGUUGAAAUUCUCUUCUUUCUUUAAUUCGUAAAUAGUACCAAAAAUUUAUUUUCUCUGUUUUAAAGAUUCUCCACCUUUCUUAACAUGUCUUUAGUCGCUUCUCAGAUCCCUCAGUUUUCUCCAAAUUUUCUCUGAAUUUGAAUUUCUUCACGGUAUAUCUACAAAUUCUUUUUCAUUGCCUUCAAGCUUAAUCAUUUUAUUGGUUAUUGCUUCACAGUUUCUUAUCUUAUUUCAUCAAUCAUGCCAUCAAUUUUGAGUUUCUAGCUUUUUUUUUUGUGUGUAACUUUGCUUCUUAUGUGUUUCAUGUAACUUUUUGUUUCCACGGUUUCAGGGAAUCAAUUGAGGGUUAGGUUAUCGGGCUAUGUUUGCAUGGUUUUGAACUGUCAUAUUUUCAUAGUUGUAUUAUUUGGAUGGUGUAUUAAUUAAUUUAAAGAAGGAAAUUUGGUGAAUUUUCCUUGUUGAGGUCUUUAUAUAUAAUUUUAAUCUGGACAGAAAGUUAUGUGGCUGAAACUAAUCUGGGUUUGUUUUUCUUUUUAUAAACGAAUUAGUUCUCUGUUCUGAUCUGGUUUUUGAGUUUCAAGGGUUUAAGUUAACUUAUUUGUUCAAAUAGUAGCAUGCUCUGCUGGCAACUGCUGUUGAUUUUAUUGUUUUUUGCUUGGAUCCCAGAGGUUCUACUUGUUUCUGUGUUGUGUAAUUGUAUUUGAGUGAUUCUACUUAGUUUGUAAAGCUCAAGUCUUGAGUUGUUUGUGAGAGUUGUAGUUUUAGAUCUACUGUUUAAGAUGAAAGUGUUUUUGUUUUGGCUGUAGUUUUUGUAAUAUAAAAGGUUUUGAAUGAUUUUUUAUGUUAACUGUACUCCUUGCUUCCUUGUUCUGUAUUUAUCAGUGUAUAUGACCGUCUUUUUUUGUCUAGAUCCAUGUACUUAGUAGAGAUUGUGGAUUUUAGAUUAACUGUCAUAGAUUCUAGGACAUGGUGUUGAUUUCUAAUUCAAGGGAUCGGGUGACAAAUGAUAAACAUGUUACUGGUCACAACAUUUUAACAUCUAAUAAAGAAUCUAACAUGUUGGAUCUUAAGUCUCAACCAUAGACUAUAAGGCUAGGAUAGACAAUUGUCUGUUAAUAAUCAUCAUCAUCACCUUUCCAUAUUAAGAUUAAUGAGUGGAAAAAAUCCCUGAGCUCUAGUAUUUUAGUUAAUUUUGUGAAAUUUAAGUUUAGAGAAAAUUUUAUGGCUUUAUUAUCUUCAAAAACUUUGAAGAAAUUGUUUUCUUAUCUAUGACUUUAAAUUUUCUUUUAUUUUACUGCUCAAGUAAUAAAUAAAGUGGCGUAACCAUUGACCAUUCACGCAAUUAGAAGUGCUUUGACUUCAUAGUUAAGGCUAUUUGAUGAAAGUAGACAGUUCUUUAGGUUUUCAGUGCUUUGUUCUAUCCAAAGGUGUACAAUAUUUUUAGGUAAUGAACUUUUUUAAAUUUAUUUAUGAGAUUUGUUUUCUAUUAUGAUCUGCUUUUUCAGUAUGCUGGGGAUAAAUGCAUCUGGUAGAAAAGGAUUUUGAAAAAAAAAAAAAAAGAAUUCUAAAAGAAAUAGUAAACUUGAAUAUAAUCCUAGAAGAAUCUGCAUGGAACUUUGUUACUUAAAUUGAUAUUUCCAGAUAUAUUUCGCAUAACACAGGCCCCUAGCUUAAAUGGGGAAUUAUUUAUAGUUUGUUCGUUAAUACCUUUUUGGAACUUUGGAAUUCGAUUUUCGUUUUUAACAUAACUGAAUUAAUCCCAUUUUCUUUUUAGAGAGUAAUAAAUUUAUCUGUUUCAGGGUGAAAGGUGUAAUUUAUGCAUUAUUAUUAAUAAUUUGAUUCUCAUUUAUUUUUAUUCAUCAACCACCUUAGAACAACUUUAUCUUCAUUCCAGAAUAAACAGAAAAAAAACAUAAAACCCUAGACUUGAUGAGGGCCUCACCUGCCCAUGAUUUCGAUCUGUCAUUUUAAACAGUAUUGAUGGUUACAUCUGUACUGAAAUUGUUGCUAGUGCCUCUUAAGACGAUGGUUAUGAGUAUUUUUCAUCCUUUUGCGUUGUACUGCAGGUUGUGUUGCGUUGAUUCGAUUUCCAAGAAUAUUCUGGAACUAGAAUGUGCAGCUAACUUUUCCUUAUAUAUCUUCUUGUGGUUUAAGUUUUAAUGUUAAAAUAUCUAAUUAAUGCUGUGGAAAUUGGUAUUACUUAUAAUAUAUUUGAAUGGCUUUUAUUAUUGCCUUAUUGUGUUGCUUCAUUUGUUUUUUCUUGUUAGGGUUAAUGACACCAAGCUAUCUGUCAAUAAGGAGCACAAGACGCUCCAGAUAUCUCUUUGCAUCCACUUUGAAUGUUCUUAUAAAAGGAUUUUAUCCUAGAAAUGUUGUCAGAUACAUCGGCAAUUAAGCUUUUACAUAAUUGAAGUCUGUGCUGUUGUUGUAGACACUUGAUAAGAUGGACCGAGCAGAUACAUCAGGGUUUGUANNNN
This 2542-nucleotide long non-coding RNA is filed under the name Durio zibethinus. Its description in RNAcentral is "long non-coding RNA (DZIB_LNC000732)". Lineage: Eukaryota; Viridiplantae; Streptophyta; Magnoliopsida; Malvales; Malvaceae. The record is from RNAcentral.